GAUUAAUGCUAGCGGUGCGCCUAAUACAUGCAAGUCGAGCGAGGCUUCGAGCCGAGCGGCGAACGGCUGAGUAACACGUUGGAACAUGCCCCGAACUCAGGGAUAACUCAUCGAAAGAUGAGCUAAUACCGGAUAGUCCCGCAAGGGUAAGCUUUUGCGGUUCGGGAGUGGCCUGCGGUCUAUCAGCUAGUUGGUAAGGUAAAAGCUUACCAAGGCUAUGACGGAUAGCUGGUGUGAGAGCACGACCAGUCAGAAUGGAACUGAGACACGGUCCAUACUCCUACGGGAGGCAGCAGU
This 297-nucleotide ribosomal RNA is filed under the name uncultured bacterium. Its description in RNAcentral is "partial 16S ribosomal RNA". It matches the Rfam family "Bacterial small subunit ribosomal RNA", at positions 28 to 355 of the family's 1533-position model. The record is from RNAcentral.